UAAGACGAACCGUGCGAACGUUAUUCGGAUUCACUGGGCUUAAAGGGCGCGUAGGCGGCUCCGCGAGUCGGGGGUGAAAUCUUUCGGCCCAACCGGAAGAGGGCCUCCGAGACCGCGGGACUCGAGGGGGAUAGGGGUGCGCGGAACUUCCGGUGGAGCGGUGAAAUGCGUAGAUAUCGGAAGGAACGCCGGUGGCGAAAGCGGCGCACUGGAUCCCUACUGACGCUGAGGCGCGAAAGCCAGGGGAGCGAACGGGAUUAGAUACCCCGGUAGUCCUGGCCCUAAACGAUGAGGACUAGGUAGUGGGCUUGCAUGGGCUCACUGCCGGAGCGAAAGUCUUAAGUCCUCCGCCUGGGGAGUAUGGUCGCAAGGCUG
This 375-nucleotide ribosomal RNA is filed under the name uncultured bacterium. RNAcentral describes it as "bacterial SSU rRNA". It matches the Rfam family "Bacterial small subunit ribosomal RNA", at positions 521 to 896 of the family's 1533-position model. The record is from RNAcentral.